Marmota monax (woodchuck) is the source of this 1423-nucleotide long non-coding RNA. RefSeq lists it as uncharacterized. NCBI's taxonomy places the organism in Eukaryota, Metazoa, Chordata, Mammalia, Rodentia, Sciuridae. The transcript is spliced from 3 exons. The record is from RefSeq and is a predicted model, not a curated record.
GGCACCCAGGGCUUGGGGUGAGAGCUUCAGUGUUCUCUCUGGAGCCCACAGCCCCAUUCCAGGGCAGAGGAGGACCGGCUCUCAUUUAAUGUUUAACACGCUGGCUGUGGUCAGGAUAAUCACAAAGAGCCAGGGGCACAGCGGGGGAGAAGCCUGUCACCCUGAUAGAAAGCUGCUGAAAUCAUCCAGUUGGAGAAACUGAGGCUCAGAAGUUAAGAACUACAAGGCUCUGCUCCUCGGGGAGCCAGGAAGGCUUGUCCUCCGCAAGGACUCCAAGAACACAUUUACUUAACACGUGGUGCUGAGGACUGAACCCAGAACUGUGCAUGCUGAGGACAGCCCUCUUCCAAGGGAGCCACCUCCCAGCCCACCCAGCUCCCCGCCCCCUGCGGUGCUGGGCCUUGGCCCGGGCCUAGGGCCUCCUAGGGAAGCCGGUGCCUCGCGCUCCCUCCACCCCGCGGGUAGGUCGGCUUUGUUCCUCUGUGUGGUUCGGGGACAGAACCCAGAGGGCUCUACCAUUGGGCUUAAUACCCAGCCCUUUUAAAAUUUUAUUGACUGGCCUCAAACUUGGGGUCCUCCUGCCUCAGCCUCCCCAGUAGCUGGGAUUACAGGCCUGCGCAGUGCCGUCCCCGCUGAGUGAUUUUUAACAGAGAAACAUCCCAGCCCCUUGUCUCCGUCUGGUGGGGGGCACUACCCACUGGUCACGUUCCACCUGGUGUCCCCUCCUCUUUCUGUGUCCCGCACACGGAGACCUUCAUUCAGUGGAAGUCACUCACCGACUACGGAUUAAGUGCCAGCUCUAGGAGAUGACAACUAAACACGAAAUGAGUCACUUGCUUAGUGGGAGGAGUCAGAACAGCCACCGGGAGGGAGAGAAAGUCCCCUGCAGGAGGACCAGGAGCGGGGGCUGUCCCCAGUGCUCCCUGAGGCCCGCCGCUGGUCAGCUGUGGCCGGCCCCUUCCUACAGCCCCGGGGUGUUGACGCCAGGUGCCCUGGACGAGGAGCCGGUCUGUCGUCUGGCUCUUGCGCAGAGACCGUGGCACCCACACCCCGCGGGGAACUGGGGCGAGGCCCCCGCCGCCCUCCGGAGGGGACGCUCCGACGCGCACCGCGGGUUCCGUCCACCCCAGGGCGCGGCCCCGGCCCCCGCAAACGUGGAGGCCCGCACCCUGCCCGGGACCGAAGCUGGAGCAGAGAUGCCCCGCCAGCUCGGGACCCUUCCGGCCACCGCGGCUCCUCCUGGCCCGUGUGAGCCUCAGGGACCGGGCGCGGCUGGAGUCACCCAGAGACGCCGCCAGGCGGCGCUGAGUCCCGAGCGCACGUGGGGCCCGCGAUCGGCCCCGGGGGACCUUGUAAGGCUCGGGGACUUGGAACCUUCCCCUAAGGGCGUCGUGUGGGCCUACGGCCAGGUUGAGAGAAAGGC